Molecule: ribosomal RNA, 445 nt
Filed under: uncultured bacterium
Lineage: Bacteria
Description: partial 16S ribosomal RNA
Rfam family: Bacterial small subunit ribosomal RNA
Source: RNAcentral
GUGAGGAAUAUUGGACAAUGGGCGCAAGCCUGAUCCAGCCAUGCCGCGUGCAGGAAGACGCAUCUAUGGUGUGUAAACUGCUUUUGUACGGGAAGAAACACUCCCUCGUGAGGGAGCUUGACGGUACCGUAAGAAUAAGGAUCGGCUAACUCCGUGCCAGCAGCCGCGGUAAUACGGAGGAUCCAAGCGUUAUCCGGAAUCAUUGGGUUUAAAGGGUCCGUAGGCGGUUUAAUAAGUGAGUGGUGAAAGCCCAUCGCUCAACGAUGGAACGGCCAUUGAUACUGUUAGACUUGAAUUACAAGGAAGUAACGAGAAUAUGUAGUGUAGCGGUGAAAUGCUUAGAUAUUACAUGGAAUACCAAUUGCGAAGGCAGGUUACUACUUGUGGAUUGACGCUGAUGGACGAAAGCGUGGGGAGCGAACAGGAUUAGAUACCCCAGUAGUCC